RNAcentral lists this long non-coding RNA (1192 nucleotides) under Vitis vinifera (wine grape). RNAcentral describes it as "long non-coding RNA (VVIN_LNC005578)". The record is from RNAcentral. Lineage: Eukaryota; Viridiplantae; Streptophyta; Magnoliopsida; Vitales; Vitaceae.
UAUUUUGCUCUGGCUGCCUUUGGUUUAUUUACAGUAUGAGCAUUGCUAGAUGUAAGGCAUGCCUUCCCCUUUGCUAUCAGCCCUCUCCCUUCCUUCUUGGAUUGCCUCCUUCAAGAGGAGGUUCUUGAUUGAGUGCAGUUUGUUGACUCCAUCUCCCAUCUCCAUUCGGUCCCCUGGAGAUUCAAUGGAACAUGUGACGCCAAUUCUCAAUACUGAGACCAUGUACUCCUCCAUUUUGCGGUCUCUUUUUCAUCUCCUAAAACCAAAUGCGGAUCCAUGACUUCCCUUACUCGCUCAGGUAAAGAUGACUUCACAAAAUCAUGAAGAGUAAGGCCAUCUUAGAAGAUGUCAUCCGUUGGCCUUCUUCCUGUAAACAUCUCCAGCAAUAGAAUUCCAUAACUGUACACAUCUCCCUCUGCAGAAACAUUACCAGUAACACCAUAUUCUGCAAAAUAGUUAGAGCAAGAUUUAAUAAUUCUUCUUUGCAGGUUGUUUUUUUAAAGUUAAAAAGGUUCAAUGAAACUUUUUGUUUCAGUGAAUACUGGUGAUUCAGGAAGGCAACAUGAGAGGAUUUGGAGGUUUGAACUAUUAAUGAAUCUAUAGGCAGUUAAGGCAUUGUUGAAUGGGUUCCUUGCUCCUUCAACACCAUGAGAAGAUUUGGAGGUUUGAACUACUCUAAUUUAAAAUAGUUUUUGCUUUCAUAUGUAUUCUGACUAAAAAUUUCCAACAGCUCUUUUAGCAUUGAUUUCUAAGCAAUUUUCUACAAGUAUUUAAAUAGUGGGACUAGUUCAUCAAAAGACCUAAAUACUUUUGAAAUUGGAAAAAUGACCUCUCUUAAUCAUUCUUUAAAAAAAUGUUCUUUGUUUUGUCAAAAAUGUCAUUUCCCUCCCAUUUUUUACCUAACUCUCUCUAUAAGAUUAUGCUCUCUCAAAGGAUAAAGAUCAGUUUUGUUUUUUUUUGUAAUUUCAUUUAAACUUCUAUUCUACUUGACUUCUGGGUGUGUAAUUGGGUUUGCUCUUGGACAAUGGUAUACACUAGAUAUAAUUCAACCAAGGGAACAAUGUGCAAGACCCGCUUAUGUCUAUGGCAUUAAUUUUCUAAGAAAUUUGCUACAAUUAUUUAGAUAAAGAGACUUGUUCAUCAAUUAUGUUUCAUCUAGAAUAUGUUUGAAAUAUUAUGAUAAAGAAUGAGA